AACGCUAGCUACAGGCUUAACACAUGCAAGUCGAGGGGCAGCAUGGUCUUAGCUUGCUAAGGCCGAUGGCGACCGGCGCACGGGUGAGUAACACGUAUCCAACCUGCCGUCUACUCUUGGACAGCCUUCUGAAAGGAAGAUUAAUACAAGAUGGCAUCAUGAGUCCGCAUGUUCACAUGAUUAAAGGUAUUCCGGUAGACGAUGGGGAUGCGUUCCAUUAGAUAGUAGGCGGGGUAACGGCCCACCUAGUCUUCGAUGGAUAGGGGUUCUGAGAGGAAGGUCCCCCACAUUGGAACUGAGACACGGUCCAAACUCCUACGGGAGGCAGCAGUGAGGAAUAUUGGUCAAUGGGCGAGAGCCUGAACCAGCCAAGUAGCGUGAAGGAUGACUGCCCUAUGGGUUGUAAACUUCUUUUAUAAAGGAAUAAAGUCGGGUAUGGAUACCCGUUUGCAUGUACUUUAUGAAUAAGGAUCGGCUAACUCCGUGCCAGCAGCCGCGGUAAUACGGAGGAUCCGAGCGUUAUCCGGAUUUAUUGGGUUUAAAGGGAGCGUAGAUGGAUGUUUAAGUCAGUUGUGAAAGUUUGCGGCUCAACCGUAAAAUUGCAGUUGAUACUGGAUAUCUUGAGUGCAGUUGAGGCAGGCGGAAUUCGUGGUGUAGCGGUGAAAUGCUUAGAUAUCACGAAGAACUCCGAUUGCGAAGGCAGCCUGCUAAGCUGCAACUGACAUUGAGGCUCGAAAGUGUGGGUAUCAAACAGGAUUAGAUACCCUGGUAGUCCACACGGUAAACGAUGAAUACUCGCUGUUUGCGAUAUACUACAAGCGGCCAAGCGAAAGCGUUAAGUAUUCCACCUGGGGAGUACGCCGGCAACGGUGAAACUCAAAGGAAUUGACGGGGGCCCGCACAAGCGGAGGAACAUGUGGUUUAAUUCGAUGAUACGCGAGGAACCUUACCCGGGCUUAAAUUGCAGAUGAAUUACGGUGAAAGCCGUAAGCCGCAAGGCAUCUGUGAAGGUGCUGCAUGGUUGUCGUCAGCUCGUGCCGUGAGGUGUCGGCUUAAGUGCCAUAACGAGCGCAACCCUUGUUGUCAGUUACUAACAGGUUCCGCUGAGGACUCUGACAAGACUGCCAUCGUAAGAUGUGAGGAAGGUGGGGAUGACGUCAAAUCAGCACGGCCCUUACGUCCGGGGCUACACACGUGUUACAAUGGGGGGUACAGAGGGCCGCUACCACGCGAGUGGAUGCCAAUCCCCAAAACCUCUCUCAGUUCGGACUGGAGUCUGCAACCCGACUCCACGAAGCUGGAUUCGCUAGUAAUCGCGCAUCAGCCACGGCGCGGUGAAUACGUUCCCGGGCCUUGUACACACCGCCCGUCAAGCCAUGGGAGCCGGGGGUACCUGAAGUGCGUAACCGCGAGGAGCGCCCUAGGGUAAAACUGGUGACUGGGGCUAAGU
This 1450-nucleotide ribosomal RNA is filed under the name uncultured organism. RNAcentral describes it as "SSU rRNA". It matches the Rfam family "Bacterial small subunit ribosomal RNA". The record is from RNAcentral.